CUACGAAAGGGGCAAGCGUUGUUCGGAUUUACUGGGCGUAAAGAGAUCGGAGGUGGUUUAUCAAGUCGGAUGUGAAAUCCCGGGGCUCAACCCCGGAACUGCAUUCGAUACUGGUAGACUUGAGUUCGGGAGGGGGAUGCGGAAUUCCGCGUGUAGCAGUGAAAUGCGUAGAUAUGCGGAGGAACACCAGAGGCGAAGGCGGCAUCCUGGACCGAUACUGACACUGAGGAUCGAAAGCGUGGGUAGCAAACAGGAUUAGAAACCCGUGUAGUCC
RNAcentral lists this ribosomal RNA (274 nucleotides) under uncultured bacterium. RNAcentral's name for it is "partial 16S ribosomal RNA". It matches the Rfam family "Bacterial small subunit ribosomal RNA", at positions 523 to 796 of the family's 1533-position model. The record is from RNAcentral.